AUUAAAAUUUUAGGGUAAAGAUCUAUCGCCUUAAGGGGGAUGGGCUUUUAAGGUAAAAUUGGAAGUGGACAGACAGACAAGGGGCAAAUAGGUCCGUUGUUAAAGGGGGGGAGCCCAAACUAGAAGUUAAAGUCAGAGAUUCAAUAAUUAAGUGUAAAAGGAACAUGGGAUUUAGACAAUGAAGAGGUAGGCUUGGAGCCAGCCAUCUUUGAAAGAAUGCGUAGAAGUUCACUCAAGAACUCUUUUCUCCCAAAAAUUAUGGUGGCUAAAAGUUGAACUGAAACUCUGGGGGCAGUAAGUAGUUUGCUUGGUAGUAGAACAGACUGUUGGGAGGUGGUGAGAACCCAAGAAUCAGAAGAGAAAAUGUGAACAUGAGUAAAAAAAUUGUUGCUUCAUCUCCCCGGGUUUCCAAGCCAAAGGCACCGAGCGAAGAGGCUUGGGUGAAACAGCCUCUAAGGGGGUUACCAAUGGGCGAUAGUAAUAAACGCACAAUGUGCCAGGAAAGAUUUAUAACAAAAGAUUACUGUCGCAAACUAACACAAGUGGGAGAUAGUGAGGGGGAAAAGUUUUUUAAGGAACUCGGCUAGUCAUUAGCUUUCAUUAGAAGUUAAAACACAGGGCCUCGACUGUUUACCAAAAACAUAGCUCUUCGCUAAUAUGAGGGUAGAAGUAUGAGGGGUGAGACCUGCCCAAUGGUUGUAUCUUAAAAGGUUGGUAAGGCGAAUUUAACAAAGACAAUUUAAUGGCUGCGGUAACACUGACCGUGAAAAUGUAGCGAAAUCAAUAGUCAAUUAAUUGUUGACCGGUAUGAAUGGUGUCACGAGGGUCUCGCUGUCUUAAGGAAGUUUCCAGUGAAAUUGAACUUGUAGUGAAGAUGCUACAUCUAAAUUGUUAGACAAGAAGUCCCCAUGGAACUUUACUGGAGACUUAUGUGGCUGACUUAAAUAGUUUUAAAAUGUGGUGUGAAUCAAUUAGGGUUAGAAAAGCUCACUUUUUAUUUUAAGAAAGGCAACUUAAAAAUAUAUGUUUUUGGGAUUUGAUAAGUGAGACAGUUUGGUUGGGGCGACCGCCUUUAAAAAAGUAACGAAGGCGGACUUAAGAUGUAUGUUUAGUUAUGUCUGACUGCUAAGGGGAGACCCAGAGCAGACACUUGUCUUUGGACGGUGGGUUUAAGUGACCCGUUAGCUCGGGGUGAAAUGGUUAACGAUAAACAAAUAAAAGUUACCCUGGGGAUAACAGCGCAAUAACGUUUAAGAGUUUUUAUCGACGACGAUGUUUGCGACCUCGAUGUUGAAUUGCGGCAUCCUGGGGAGCAGUCGCUCCCAAGGGUUGGUCUGUUCGUCCAUUAAAGCCGUACAUGAUUUGAGUUAAAAGCGUCGUAAGACAGCUUGGUUUCUAUCUACAAUUUGAAGAAACAUUGAUAUAACUAUUUUCUAGUACGAAAGGAUCGAAAAAUUAGUGGUUCUCUUAUUUUUAUAAGUUACAAUCAAUUGAUUGGCCCGGAUACUUUUUGAGGGGGUCUUUUGGUUACUUGCUGAUUGCUUCUAAAGCAUGAAAAUUAUAUCAAGUUGUUUGAA
RNAcentral lists this ribosomal RNA (1577 nucleotides) under Agaricia humilis. RNAcentral's name for it is "LSU rRNA". It matches the Rfam family "Bacterial large subunit ribosomal RNA", at positions 888 to 2816 of the family's 2925-position model. The record is from RNAcentral. Lineage: Eukaryota; Metazoa; Cnidaria; Anthozoa; Scleractinia; Agariciidae.